AUGAAAAGAAACUAUCCAGCCCAUUCUCCUUUUAGCCAUAAGGCCCAGUAUUCAGUGACUACAAACAAGCAGCUUCCUAUUAGUGUACACAGUACCUUGUUUGUAUGAGUUGCACCAAAAGACCUUGGAAACAGAC
Erinaceus europaeus (western European hedgehog) is the source of this 136-nucleotide non-coding RNA. The record is from Rfam. NCBI's taxonomy places the organism in Eukaryota, Metazoa, Chordata, Mammalia, Eulipotyphla, Erinaceidae.